This is a long non-coding RNA of Ictalurus punctatus (channel catfish), 1074 nucleotides long. Lineage: Eukaryota; Metazoa; Chordata; Actinopteri; Siluriformes; Ictaluridae. The record is from Ensembl.
AUACACAAUAACAUCUUUCAGAAACAUGACUUUCAAUCAAAUGCCACAUUUAGUGCACAAUGCUAGUGAGCCUCUACUGCCCUCUUGUGAUCUUUACUGGUAAAUUGGGUCUGAGUGCUGAGACUCACCUCCAGGUUCAGCCCGAGCAGCUCGUUCAUGAUGGAGUCCAGCUCUCGAGUGGCCGUUCCCGGACUCAUCACCUCGGCCGAGACCGGAGAAGGCAACUGACUGAGAAUGUACAAGAAUGAUUAGAGAAACCAUUUUAUCCGGCGUUUCCAGCUAAACGGGAAACCUUGAUUGACAUGAAGUCCAAAACAUCAAAGAGUCUACAUCGGAGAAGCCGUCGUCCGUAACGACGUCUUCAAGACACUUCCUGUAUGCAGAAACGAAUGAGCCGCAGCAUCCAGGUGUGAUUUUGGCGCGUUCAAAAUGACAGUUAUAUACCGUAUGAUAUAUGUAAGCGUAGGUUUAAACACGACAAGUGUGUGUAGACCGUAGCCUAUAUUAACUGCUCCUAGUGCGAAAUAACUUCUUCAUUCUGAUCAUUCUUGAGCAGCAUGUUUCCUCCAAAGAUGAAAUCAAGCCUACGGUGUUGAAUAGAGACUGAACGUGAUAUGUAGCUUUUUUUUUUUUUUAAAGGGACGGUAGAUUUUUGAUUGGCGAUUUGGUCCUGUGUGCCUGUUAGAGGGGGGAAAAAUGGGAAUAUAAAACAAAGAGCGUGAUCCUACAAAAAGGUUAAAAGAUUAACAGAUUCAAUAGGAUUUUAUGAUUAUGAUUUCACCAUGCAUUAUGUUUGUUGGGUUCUUUUGCAAGUAUAACCAUGAUGCAGUAAAAUGAUCAUAUUACCAUGGAAGGUACAAACAGGAAAUGUUGCAAGAAGAUUUGGCACAUAGUGUGUGUGUGUGUUUUUUUUUAACGCACGGCAAGACGUCAAGCGACAAGAAGCGAUAUCGCACAACUUCACGUGUAAUAACUUAAACACGAGGAUGUUAAAGGCGAUCCGUUGCCCUAAAAUCCGAUCUAUAAAGCCUAACGCGGGUAGUCCGAGAGCCGCCAAUCCCUAAGAGAGCCCAG